Molecule: long non-coding RNA, 90 nt
Organism: Sinocyclocheilus grahami
Lineage: Eukaryota; Metazoa; Chordata; Actinopteri; Cypriniformes; Cyprinidae
Exons: 3
Source: RefSeq, a predicted model, not a curated record
GUGAGGGUGAGGUGAUGGGUAACAUGUAAUGUUGGUGUAUUACUAGGAUUGUAUAGGAAAUAUAUGUUUUGGAAUGGUGUAAUAUUUUUU